AUACGGAGGGUGCAAGCGUUGUCCGGAUUUAUUGGGUUUAAAGGGUGCGCAGGCGGUGCGUUAAGUCAGGGGUGAAAUCUUCCGGCUCAACCGGGAAACUGCCAUUGAUACUGGCGCACUUGAGUACGGACGAGGUAGGCGGAAUUUAUGGUGUAGCGGUGAAAUGCAUAGAUACCAUAAAGAACACCGAUAGCGAAGGCAGCUUACCAGACCGUAACUGACGCUCAGGCACAAAAGCGUGGGGAGCAAACAGGAUUAGAAACCCCAGUAGUCC
RNAcentral lists this ribosomal RNA (274 nucleotides) under uncultured bacterium. RNAcentral describes it as "partial 16S ribosomal RNA". It matches the Rfam family "Bacterial small subunit ribosomal RNA", at positions 523 to 796 of the family's 1533-position model. The record is from RNAcentral.